This 274-nucleotide ribosomal RNA is filed under the name uncultured bacterium. RNAcentral's name for it is "partial 16S ribosomal RNA". It matches the Rfam family "Bacterial small subunit ribosomal RNA", at positions 523 to 796 of the family's 1533-position model. The record is from RNAcentral.
AUACGGAGGGUGCAAGCGUUGUUCGGAAUCACUGGGCGUAAAGGGCGCGCAGGCGGUUUGGUAAGUCAGAUGUGAAAGCCCACGGCUCAACCGUGGAAGUGCAUUUGAAACUGCCAGACUUGAGUACCAGAGGGGAAAGUGGAAUUCCCGGUGUGGAGGUGAAAUUCGUAGAUAUCGGGAGGAAUACCGGUGGCGAAGGCGACUUUCUGGCUGGAUACUGACGCUGAGGCGCGAAAGCGUGGGGAGCAAACAGGAUUAGAAACCCUAGUAGUCC